UACGGAGGGUGCAAGCGUUGUCCGGAUUUAUUGGGUUUAAAGGGUGCGUAGGCGGUAUAUUAAGUCAGAGGUGAAAUCCCACAGCUUAACUGUGGAACUGCCUUUGAUACUGGUAUACUUGAGUACAGAUGAGGUAGGCGGAAUUUAUGGUGUAGCGGUGAAAUGCAUAGAUACCAUAAGGAACACCGAUAGCGAAGGCAGCUUACUAAGUUGUAACUGACGCUGAUGCACGAAAGCAUGGGUAGCGAACAGG
Molecule: ribosomal RNA, 253 nt
Filed under: uncultured bacterium
Lineage: Bacteria
Description: partial 16S ribosomal RNA
Rfam family: Bacterial small subunit ribosomal RNA
Source: RNAcentral